Pyrus x bretschneideri (Chinese white pear) is the source of this 1078-nucleotide RNA transcript. It is a transcript of the gene named DCN1-like protein 4, with no coding region annotated. Lineage: Eukaryota; Viridiplantae; Streptophyta; Magnoliopsida; Rosales; Rosaceae. The transcript has 10 exons. The record is from RefSeq and is a predicted model, not a curated record.
UAAUCAGAGCCUCAGCCUCCCAAUUCAACCACUCUCCCUCUCUCUCCCCCCCCUUCCCUCUCCCCCCUCUACGACAGAGAGGUUGACGAGGUUUCCGCGCUCGCUUGCUCCUUGAUUGUAAUCUAUCCGGUUCAUUUCGGGUGAACAACAUGAGACGCUCAGCCAUUAAAGCAGCUAAUAAAGAGUUGGAACGUAUUGAUGCGGUCUUUAUCUCAUAUGAAAAUGCGUCUUCUGGUUUGAUUGACCCAGAGGGAAUCGAACGUCUUUGUUCAGAUUUGGAAGUUGAACAUACCGAUGUAAGGGUCUUGAUGCUUGCCUGGAAAAUGAAAGCUGAAAAACAAGGAUACUUUACCUUGGAAGAGUGGCGAGUAGGUCUUAAAGGACUAAGGGUGGACAAUGUAAAUAAAUUAAAGAAGGCACUUCCAGAGCUAGAGAAAGAGGUCGGGAGGCCAUCAAACUUUGUGGAUUUCUAUUCCUAUGCAUUCGAAUAUUGUUUAACAGAGGAGAAACAGAAGAGCAUAGAUAUAGACAGCAUAUGCGAGUUAUUAAAUAUUGUUUUAGGAUCUCAAUACCAUUCGCAGGUUGACUUAUUUACUCAGUAUCUAAAGAUCCAGAAUGAUUACAAAGUCAUAAAUAUGGAUCAAUGGAUGGGCUUUUACCGGUUUUGCAAUGAGAUAAGUUUUCCAGACCUUAGCAACUACGACCCUGAACUUGCAUGGCCUUUGAUCCUUGACAAUUUUGUUGACUGGAUACAAGAAAAGUAGAGCCAGAGCUGAUAAUUUUCGGUGAACCUGAGCCUCUGCUGUAAACCCUACAAUUCUUGGACAGUUAGACACAAUCAAAUGGUCUCAGGACUUUAUUUUUCUUCAUUUUAUUCUUUUGCAAAUAUAGGAUUUACCUUUGGAAAUUGCAUGUUUGUGAUAUGUAUAUAGUUUUGAAAAUCUCGUUGAAUGUUAUAGCUUAUAGCACAGCUUCCAUAGUUUAUUCUGUUGAAUGUCCAACUAAUGCUGUAAGUUACUUGAGUUGAUCAAGUUGAAGCCAUUGAAUUAUGUUAUUUUAGUGUGAAGAGAUUUUAUCA